GACGAACGCUGGCGGCGUGCUUAACACAUGCAAGUCGAACGGACAGGCCCUGCUUUUGUGCGUUUCUCGUUUGGCGAACGGGUGUGUAACACGUGUGUAACCUGCCCUUGUCUUUGUGAUAUCUUCAGGAAACUGGGGCUAAUACCGGAUAUGAUCUCCUGCUGCAUGUUGGGGGUUGGUAAGUUUCGGCGGUUGGGUAUGGACUCGCGGCUUAUCAGCUUGUUUGUGGGGUAGUGGCUUACCAAGGCUUUGACGGGUCGCCGGCCUGCGAGGGUGACCGGCCACAUUGGGACUGAGAUACGGCCCAGACUCCUACGGGAGGCAGCAGUGGGGAAUAUUGCACAAUGGGCGGAAGCCUGAUGCAGCAACGCCGCGUGCGGGAUGACGGCCUUCGGGUUGUAAACCGCUUUCGCCUGUGACGAAGAGUGAGUGACGGUAAUGGGUAAAGAAGCAACGGCUAACUACGUG
RNAcentral lists this ribosomal RNA (468 nucleotides) under uncultured bacterium. Its description in RNAcentral is "partial 16S ribosomal RNA". It matches the Rfam family "Bacterial small subunit ribosomal RNA", at positions 28 to 507 of the family's 1533-position model. The record is from RNAcentral.